Molecule: long non-coding RNA, 465 nt
Organism: Myiozetetes cayanensis
Lineage: Eukaryota; Metazoa; Chordata; Aves; Passeriformes; Tyrannidae
Exons: 4
Source: RefSeq, a predicted model, not a curated record
AUUGGCACUCCUGUCUCCAGAGCAGAAUAUAAAGGUCAGACUUUUACAUCAGCAGGCAACAGUGCAUAUGGAUUUUAUUUGGAAGCCACUGACAGCACACAUGAGCCUGGUCAUUCUUGGAAUUUUGUGUCGAGAUUUUCAUAACAGAGGGAUGGUGUCUCCAACUGCCCUUGUGGAGUGAGUUUUUCAGUUUAGAUCCCAAUGUCUGGUGGAAGAGAAGCUGUUCUGUAACAAUCAAAAGACAAGGUUGAGAGAAUUUACUGCAGGAGAGUUUAUUCUUUUGACUUGUGAGAGAAAUCCUGGAGUCUGAAGAAAGUCGCUCUGGAGCCAAACAGGAGGACAAGUCUACAGGCUGCCCUGGUCACCUAACUAGAUGAAAAGAAGGAUACAUCAAAAUACCUCUCUGUAUCUGUUGCAUGACAGUGCUUGGAGCUGAAUGGAGAAUCAAAAAGGAGGAAGGAGGUC